GUGCAGCAGGCGCGAAAACUUCACAAUGUGCGAAAGCACGAUGAGGGAAUCCCAAGUGCUUGCUCGUAAGAGUAAGCUGUUUCUCUGUCUAAAACGCAGAGAGAGUAAGGGCUGGGUAAGACGGGUGCCAGCCGCCGCGGUAAUACCUGCAGCUCGAGUGGUGGCCGCUAUUAUUGGGCCUAAAACGUCCGUAGCCGGUUUAUUAAAUGCCUGGGUAAAUCGGACCGCUUAACGGUUCGAAUUCCGGGUAGACUGAUAAACUUGAGACCGGGAGAAGCUAGAGGUACUCCUGGGGUAGAGGUGGAAAUUCUGUAAUCCUAGGGGGACCACCAGUGGCGAAGGCGUCUAGCUAGAACGGGUCUGACGGUGAGGGACGAAGCCCUGGGGCGCAAACGGGAUUAGAUACCCCCUGUAGU
RNAcentral lists this ribosomal RNA (416 nucleotides) under uncultured microorganism. Its description in RNAcentral is "bacterial SSU rRNA". It matches the Rfam family "Archaeal small subunit ribosomal RNA", at positions 330 to 745 of the family's 1478-position model. The record is from RNAcentral.